GGGACGGCGGUGGGAGUUGGCGUUGCCGGGAGCGAAGUCUCCUGCGCCGGCCCGGCCAGUUCCCAGCUCCCUGGAGAUUUUAAACUUUACAAGAAGAACAAAUGAUUCCACACAGGGAAUAAGCUGUGCACUGUCUACCAAACAUUUUACUGAUAAUAAUUUUACUGAACAUUUUACUUAUACUUUACUUACCUGGCCAAAGCAUUUAAAUUCUGUCAGAGCAGCACAGUAUCUUUAAUUAUCUGCAGUGAUGAAGAUGGACUGAUGGAAUGUAAAUACUGUACCUCGUCCUAGAAACUAAUUCUAAAGAGUGUGUUCUGAGAAGUUUCUGUUCAACAGCAUUUAAUACAGAGAGAGAGAACUCACGUGUUUGCAAUGGAAAGUGAGAAAUCAUCCCCUGAGAGGAUG
Long non-coding RNA from Tupaia belangeri chinensis (Chinese tree shrew), 408 nucleotides. RefSeq lists it as uncharacterized. Lineage: Eukaryota; Metazoa; Chordata; Mammalia; Scandentia; Tupaiidae. The transcript has 3 exons. The record is from RefSeq and is a predicted model, not a curated record.